CGGAUCGUAAAGCUCUGUUGCCAAGGAAGAACGUCUUCUAGAGUAACUGCUAGGAGAGUGACGGUACUUGAGAAGAAAGCCCCGGCUAACUACGUGCCAGCAGCCGCGGUAAUACGUAGGGGGCAAGCGUUGUCCGGAAUUAUUGGGCGUAAAGCGCGCGCAGGCGGUUCUUUAAGUCUGGUGUUUAAACCCGAGGCUCAACUUCGGGUCGCACUGGAAACUGGGGGACUUGAGUGCAGAAGAGGAGAGUGGAAUUCCACGUGUAGCGGUGAAAUGCGUAGAUAUGUGGAGGAACACCAGUGGCGAAGGCGACUCUCUGGGCUGUAACUG
RNAcentral lists this ribosomal RNA (330 nucleotides) under Paenibacillus lautus. RNAcentral describes it as "bacterial SSU rRNA". It matches the Rfam family "Bacterial small subunit ribosomal RNA", at positions 419 to 742 of the family's 1533-position model. Lineage: Bacteria; Bacillati; Bacillota; Bacilli; Caryophanales; Paenibacillaceae. The record is from RNAcentral.